Molecule: transfer RNA, 77 nt
Filed under: Planctomycetota bacterium
Lineage: Bacteria; Pseudomonadati; Planctomycetota
Description: Planctomycetes bacterium tRNA-Lys
Rfam family: tRNA
About the family: Transfer RNA (tRNA) molecules are approximately 80 nucleotides in length. Their secondary structure includes four short double-helical elements and three loops (D, anti-codon, and T loops).
Source: RNAcentral
GAGGGUAUAGCUCAGUUAGGUAGAGCAACUGACUUUUAAUCAGUAGGUCGCAGGUUCGAUCCCUGCUACCCUCACCC